ACAACAUUCGGACCAUCGAUCUACAGAGCGAUAUCGCCCGCCCAGUGGAAGAUCUUCCCUUUGUCGU
RNAcentral lists this microRNA precursor (67 nucleotides) under Bombyx mori (domestic silkworm). RNAcentral describes it as "mir-2774 microRNA precursor family". It matches the Rfam family "mir-2774 microRNA precursor family". Lineage: Eukaryota; Metazoa; Arthropoda; Insecta; Lepidoptera; Bombycidae. The record is from Rfam by way of RNAcentral.